This 1619-nucleotide unclassified non-coding RNA is filed under the name Bombus terrestris (buff-tailed bumblebee). Its description in RNAcentral is "misc RNA ENSBTSG00005037521.1". Lineage: Eukaryota; Metazoa; Arthropoda; Insecta; Hymenoptera; Apidae. The record is from RNAcentral.
AGAAAACGAAUUAAACGGUGUUGAUCGAAUUGGAAAAAUAAUUCAGGGAAUGAACCGCUUCGAGAAUGGUAACUAGGCAAAUCCUAAAUAUAUAUAACCGAUAAAUUGUCAACUUAAAUAUAUCUUUCACAGUUUCUUAUAUGAUUACUAAGUACAAAAAAGAUUUAAUUGAAAUAGUAGCCAACAACAAAGUAAAAGCGAACAAUAGAAAAACAGAUCGUAGCAGACAUUGAUUUAAUGUUAAAGUUACAUAAAUCACCUCUAUACGGAUCGAUAAACAGUAUCUGUUAUCUAAAUGAUCGGUUACAUCGCUGAUCGUUUAUGUCCGAUUUAAACUUUCAAUUGUAAUUAUUAUCUGGAUUUCGGUAAUUGUCACAUACCUAAGCAACAUUGGCGUAACGUCGCGUGAAAUCAAGAAAGAUGCAGCCAACGAGAUCACCGCAAUUCUAGAACGACACAGACGUAGCUGGCUUGGACAAGAAAAAUCUAGAAGUUUAUACAAUUACGCAACAAUUCGCCAUAUUAAACUGCAACAUGUGCACAAUUACAAAACAUCCGUGUCGACGUUUGGCGCCGUCGUAAUUGUCCAAAUAGCUAGUCGCGCACAGGAACCAUCGUAAAAUAAUAUACAUAUUCCGAGUACAUUCGAAGAAUUCUAAAAUUCCAAACAAAUUACUAAUCAAUCGAUAUUAAAUAAAAUGAAGAGUGUAUGUAUAUCAUAUAUAUUAUAUAUAUCAUAGUUAUAGUUUAUAUAUAGACCGGCCGUUUCGAAACGAUAAGAUCAUCAACGGUUCAGAAGAUAUUAAAGGCAAUUAAAACCAGAUUACGAACUGUUUUAACUGAAUCUUUUAGCGAUAAUAAUGAUUCAUGUCUGAUAAUGAUCAAACAAAAUUGGUAUGCACGUUAAUCUCGCCGCUAAUGUUAAACAAUCGUUCCUUAAAAGUAUAAAAAUUUCGAAACAUUAAUAGAAAAUUUUCUGAAACGUUAAUGAAUUUCUUAAUGAGUUCAAUGUCUUAUAGGUCCAAUACAUCUACUUCUCAGUGCAUUAAUCAUAAGAAAAUAGUUCAGCAGACGCGAGACCGCAGUAUGACGAAUGUAAAAUGCAUCCAACAAUAACGUCAUCGCGACAAUGAUUCCGGUACGGCGCGGAAACUCGGAGUUCAUUGUAAAAGACGUAUUUACGUCACACCCGAUCUGUGACUCAUUUCCUCUUUCCCAGUAAUUGAUUCACAGUUCCACCUACAAUAAUUGACAUUCGAAUUUUCUAUUACAGGCUCAAACAGAUCGAUGAAUCGACAGGUGCACAAUUUAAAACAAAAUUUAAAAAAGAAGAGAUCGAAGUCUAUUUUUUCCAACAAAAUAUUUUUCUUUUUAUCAAGUUUUAUAUUUUAUUUUCAGUGUAUUAAUGAUAUGAAAUUCAAUGUACUUUAACCUAAACAAUUGUUAUGUAAAUGCUAUAAUAAAUAUAAUGAUAUGCAAAUACCUUUUCUAGUCACUAUUUAUGUACAAGUUCCCGUGAACCUGUGGCUCCUAAUAUUUCCUAUAUUUAAAAAUAGCUUUAAUCUGUUUCGAAGUAUUAGAUAUUGCGUGGUCUCUUAUCGAGACAAGUAAUCACGAUC